CGCCCCGAGCCGCCUAAUAACUGUCUUGUCUCAGCAAAGUGUUAUAUAAAACGGUACCACGUGACUCCUCACCACGCUGCUCAUUGGCCGGCAGCGGGGAAAUUGUUACAAAACCAGACAGUUUUGUAACAGUGUUGCGCUUGCUUCUUUUGGCUUCGCUUUUCUUGGCUUCUUUUUGAGGUUGUUUGUGUUUACACUCUGCCUAAUUUCCCACUUGCAACUUGGCUUCUUUUGGAAGGGGGAGAGGAACCCAACUUCUUCUCUCAAGCUUCUCCAUCUCCAAACCCCACCCCAUCCUACCUCCAAACUGGCCAGCAAACAGGUUCCCUCUGCCAGGCGCUCACUACCGCUCACCCCCGCCCGGUCCCUUCGUGGAGAGCAGGGGACUCCCUCAAGGUGGUGAGUGCAGUUUCCCGAGGGCACUUGGUCUUCGGUGCUGAGAGCGACUUGGAGCAGAGUGUCCGGCGGAUACAGAAGUUGGGCAGCGCUCGCUGGGCAGUGAGGGACGCGCGGAGAUGUGCUUACUGGCUUGCACCCCAGAAGAGGCACCCCACCACCCCUUCUCACCUCUUUGUCCCCAAACGCCAGAACCAGCGCUGGGGACGGGGGUCGGAUGCCUCUCUGGAGAAGCACCGGGCCCCCGGAGUUACUGGCCAGAUGGGCGCGGCCACUAGAAUGGCCUGCUGAGUUCGGUGCAGAUCUGUGAUAUACCUUGCUUUCUGGACCACCUUGACAAGUGAGCACCUCUUGUAUUGACCACCCUCCUUGCCCUGUUGAUGAAUGGGGAAACAAAAAGGACAGGUCAAGCAGAAGGUCACAGUCCCGCAGUCAUGGAGAAGAGAUGUGUUCUCCAGGCAGCCUCUCUUGGCAGCUGUAUAUGUAAGAGACUGACCAUGAACUUGGUCAGGAAUGUUAAUAGCUGUCAGGGAAAUGAAGGGUACGCUGGUGCCAAAGGUAGCACCACCUACUCACUGACCAGAUUCCACAGGGAGUUUGAUGUUGUAUUGUAAUCAGGACUGUCUGUAGGGGCACACCAAGUAAGUUUCUAUUGAAUUCUAGAAAACUUGACCACUUUACUUAAGUUAAACAAACAUUACCUUGAUAAACAUUUGUGACCAACUCUGAAAUGUUACUCAAAAAUUCCUCCUUUCUGCUCUUACUAAUUGGAGCCCCUGGAGGAAGGGCAGAGGAGAGAUUGGCAUCUUUUCUUAAGAUGCAAAUAUUCCUUAGAAGCCCAGAUUCCUUAAACUUCCAUUUUUUUUUGUUGUUGUUGUUAAGAUCGUGGGUGGAUAAGGUGAACCUGGAAGAAGGAGCUAGAGAUGAGUUACCCCUUAUUUCCACUGACUACACAGCAAUAAUUUUUUCAAUUGGGUUCUGAGAAACCUCUCUGGUGCCCAGAGGAGAGAGCAGGAAGGACUCAACCUUAACUCUCCUCAACUAGGGCAGUAUUGUAUUCAUUUCAUGUAGUGAGCUUCCAGGUACAAUUUCAUUAAGAAGAGAUUUUUCCCUUUGAAAUAAAAAGUUUGAAAGUCA
Marmota monax (woodchuck) is the source of this 1533-nucleotide long non-coding RNA. RefSeq lists it as uncharacterized. Lineage: Eukaryota; Metazoa; Chordata; Mammalia; Rodentia; Sciuridae. The record is from RefSeq and is a predicted model, not a curated record. The transcript has 3 exons.